CCAGUCUUGACGUUUCAGCUUGUGUGUCUUGUUCAGUGGUGGUCGUCUUUCAGCCUUUCUUACCUUGGCCAUGUCUCUGAGUAUUGCACACCUUGUGCUUUUGGGCACUCCAGUGAUGUUGCAGCUCUGAAAUAUGGCCAAACUGGUGGCAAGUGGCAUCGUGGCAGCUGCACGCCUGACUUUUCUCAGUUCAUGGGCAGUUAUUUUGCGCCUUGGUUUUUCCACACGCUUUUUGCGACCCUGUUGACUAUUUUGAAUGAAACGCUUGAUUGUUCGAUGAUCACGCUUCAGAAGCUUUGCAAUUUUAAGAGUGCUGCAUCCCUCUGCAAGAUAUCUCACUAUUUUU
Molecule: long non-coding RNA, 346 nt
Filed under: Pelobates cultripes (western spadefoot toad)
Lineage: Eukaryota; Metazoa; Chordata; Amphibia; Anura; Pelobatidae
Source: RNAcentral